RNAcentral lists this ribosomal RNA (709 nucleotides) under Microbacterium sp. NOB3. RNAcentral describes it as "bacterial SSU rRNA". It matches the Rfam family "Bacterial small subunit ribosomal RNA", at positions 94 to 820 of the family's 1533-position model. The record is from RNAcentral. Lineage: Bacteria; Bacillati; Actinomycetota; Actinomycetes; Micrococcales; Microbacteriaceae.
AGCGGCGAACGGGUGAGUAACACGUGAGCAACCUGCCCCUGACUCUGGGAUAAGCGCUGGAAACGGCGUCUAAUACUGGAUAUGUCCCGUCACCGCAUGGUGGGCGGGUGGAAAGAUUUUUCGGUUGGGGAUGGGCUCGCGGCCUAUCAGCUUGUUGGUGAGGUAAUGGCUCACCAAGGCGUCGACGGGUAGCCGGCCUGAGAGGGUGACCGGCCACACUGGGACUGAGACACGGCCCAGACUCCUACGGGAGGCAGCAGUGGGGAAUAUUGCACAAUGGGCGGAAGCCUGAUGCAGCAACGCCGCGUGAGGGAUGACGGCCUUCGGGUUGUAAACCUCUUUUAGCAGGGAAGAAGCGAGAGUGACGGUACCUGCAGAAAAAGCACCGGCUAACUACGUGCCAGCAGCCGCGGUAAUACGUAGGGUGCAAGCGUUAUCCGGAAUUAUUGGGCGUAAAGAGCUCUUAGGCGGUCUGUCGCGUCUGCUGUGAAAUCCCGAGGCUCAACCUCGGGCUUGCAGUGGGUACGGGCAGACUAGAGUGCGGUAGGGGAGAUUGGAAUUCCUGGUGUAGCGGUGGAAUGCGCAGAUAUCAGGAGGAACACCGAUGGCGAAGGCAGAUCUCUGGGCCGUAACUGACGCUGAGGAGCGAAAGGGUGGGGAGCAACAGGCUUAGAUACCCUGUAGUCAACCCGUAAACGUUGGAACUAGU